GAUGAACGCUGGCGGCGUGCCUAAUACAUGCAAGUCGAGCGAACAGACGAGGAGCUUGCUCCUCUGACGUUAGCGGCGGACGGGUGAGUAACACGUGGAUAACCUACCUAUAAGACUGGGAUAACUUCGGGAAACCGGAGCUAAUACCGGAUAAUAUAUUGAACCGCAUGGUUCAAUAGUGAAAGACGGUUUUGCUGUCACUUAUAGAUGGAUCCGCGCCGCAUUAGCUAGUUGGUAAGGUAACGGCUUACCAAGGCAACGAUGCGUAGCCGACCUGAGAGGGAGAUCGGCCACACUGGAACUGAGACACGGUCCAGACUCCUACGGGAGGCAACAGUAGGGAAUCUUCCGCAAUGGGCGAAAGCCUGACGGAGCAACGCCGCGUGAGUGAUGAAGGUCUUCGGAUCGUAAAACUCUGUUAUUAGGGAAGAACAAAUGUGUAAGUAACUAUGCACGUCUUGACGGUACCUAAUCAGAAAGCCACGGCUAACUACGUG
Molecule: ribosomal RNA, 497 nt
Filed under: uncultured bacterium
Lineage: Bacteria
Description: partial 16S ribosomal RNA
Rfam family: Bacterial small subunit ribosomal RNA
Source: RNAcentral